UUAACGGUGUAGACCUUCUCAAGAUCCAUAAUAUCCUUCUAGAGAAGUGGCUUUGCACACCAGGGCAGACAAAUGGCAAGGACCUCCAGUACCAGGACUCUGUGACUGAUCUUACUGAGGAUCCUGAUCUCAUGAGAGUGGUGUAUUUGCUGCAGAUGCACUCCAUGGAUAUGAGGUAUGUCUGCUCAAUCCCAUCCUGAGUGCAGAGACAAAGGUCAAUUAUAUAGCUGUUUCUUCAGCAUGUAUAUGAUUUCUUCCCAUUUUAUACAGUAUUAGUAUAAUUUAAAGGGCCAGUGGGUAAAAUCAAAGCUCUAAAGUUUACAUGUACAGUAACACUGUAAUUAUUAUUUAUAACUCCUUCACCCUACUUUCCCUCCAAGCCCAUAUACAUGUAUACCUGCCUCCUACAAUUUCUGAUGGACAGCAGUUUAUCGUCAUGUUCAUUUGCAACAAACCUUUCAUUUACUGGAUGAAUGAACGUCAGCAUUCAUUCAUACGCCUCGUCCCAUAUGAGGAAAGUAUAUCUGGAAAACUAAGCGUUAAGUAUCGGACUUGACACAUUAUACUGGUGUGUAAAACCUAACACUAACUUUUUUUUUAAAGAAAAACAAAGUACACAAUGAUUUAUUACAUUAAUACUAAAUAACGUUAUCUGUAUAUAGUUACACUUCAUAUAACUUGUGUUUGGGGCUGCAGCGACUAGUCUGAAUAAUCAGUAGACUUCCUGUAGAAGUCCCUGUAGAAGUUAUUACAAUAAAAACGAUAAUGUUUAGAAUGAGCACAUUAGUCUGUCUUUUUUUGUUGUUGUUGUUCUUUUCUCAGCUGUUGGGAAGAUCCAGUCUCAGACUGACCUUUGAACACCGCAGCUGUGCGCUGCUCUGCCUCAUUCACCUUGUAGACACCUUGUUAUUUUAUAAUCAAUAUU
Molecule: long non-coding RNA, 925 nt
Organism: Ictalurus punctatus (channel catfish)
Lineage: Eukaryota; Metazoa; Chordata; Actinopteri; Siluriformes; Ictaluridae
Exons: 3
Source: RefSeq, a predicted model, not a curated record